CGCCCCUUGUGCGGCCACCGGGAGGGUUGGGAGCCCAGAGCUCGCGGGACCGCUCUCGCUCAGUCUCCUCCAGCACAGCGUCGCAAACCCCGCCGGAAAGCGUGACGGCGCAGGCGCAGGCGCGGAGACCCGAGACGGUGGUGGUGGCUGCCGCUGGCCAGUUUCUUCAGCGAACCUCCAGACCAGUUUUCUCAGGAUCUUGGGCCUGACUUCGGUCGGCGAUAAAAGCAGGAAGGCUGGCGACCAUAUUUAAGAUGUCCAAUAAACGUCCCAACACGACAGAUGGGAGAACAGAUUUAGCUAAUGGAAGUCUGUCCAGCAGCCCAGAGGAGAUGUCUGGAGCUGAAGAGGGGAGGGAAACAUCCUCAGGGAUUGAAGUAGAGGCAUCAGACCUGAGUCUCAGCUUGACUGGGGAUGACGGUGGCCCCAACCGCACCAGCACGGAAAGUCGUGGCACAGACACAGAGAGCUCAGGGGAAGAAAAGGACUCUGACAGCAUGGAGGACACGGGCCAUUAUUCCAUCAAUGAUGAAAGCCGAGGUCAUGGCCACUCAGACGAAGAGGACGAGGAACAACCUCGGCACCGUGGACAGCGCAAACGGGCCAGCCGUGACCAGGAUUCAUCAGAUGAUGAGCGAGCCCUGGAAGACUGGGUAUCUUCAGAGACAACAGCCUUACCCCGACCUCGCUGGCAAGCCCUUCCUGCGCUUCGGGAGCGGGAACUGGGUUCCAGUGCCCGCUUUGUGUACGAGGCUUGUGGAGCUAGAGUCUUUGUACAGCGUUUCCGUUUGCAGCACGGGCUUGAGGGCCAUACUGGUUGUGUCAAUACCUUGCACUUUAACCAGCGUGGUACCUGGCUGGCCAGUGGCAGUGAUGACCUGAAGGUGGUGGUGUGGGAUUGGGUGCGGCGGCAGCCAGUACUGGACUUUGAGAGUGGCCACAAAAGUAAUGUCUUCCAGGCCAAGUUCCUUCCUAACAGUGGUGACUCCACCCUGGCUAUGUGUGCCCGGGAUGGACAGGUCCGAGUCGCAGAGCUGUCUGCUACACAGUGCUGCAAGAACACCAAGCGUGUGGCCCAGCACAAGGGGGCAUCUCACAAGUUAGCCCUAGAACCAGACUCCCCCUGCACGUUCCUGUCAGCUGGUGAAGAUGCCGUCGUCUUCACCAUUGACCUGAGACAAGACCGGCCAGCUUCGAAACUAGUGGUGACAAAAGAGAAGGAGAAGAAAGUGGGGCUGUAUACAAUCUAUGUGAACCCUGCCAAUACCCACCAGUUUGCAGUGGGUGGAAGAGAUCAGUAUGUAAGGAUUUAUGACCAGAGGAAAAUUGAUGAGAAUGAGAACAACGGAGUCCUGAAAAAAUUCUGUCCUCACCACUUGAGCUCCUGGCCAGUUACAAUGAUGAAGACAUUUACCUUUUCAACUCUUCUCACAGUGAUGGGGCCCAGUAUAUUAAGAGAUACAAAGGCCAUAGAAAUAAUGCUACAGUAAAAGGCGUCAAUUUCUAUGGCCCCAAGAGUGAGUUUGUGGUGAGCGGUAGUGACUGCGGGCACAUCUUCCUCUGGGAGAAGUCAUCUUGCCAGAUUAUUCAGUUCAUGGAAGGGGACAAGGGAGGUGUGGUGAGUAUGCGCUGCUGGACUGGCUGUCCCCCUAGUGUCUCAGGGCAGUAAGGCAGGUCUUAGGUAGGUCACCACAUUGUCACUGCAGCUGUAUGGUAACUUGUUUUAGAGACCCACAUAGCUACACUAAAGGGGUUAUGCCUUGAGGGUGCUGAGAUUUUGAAGGAACAUUUUAUUCCUUCCUUCUGCCCUUUUAAAGGAUUUUAGGGGGAAUUUAUACCCUGAGCAAAAUUCUUAAGCAUGGGCUUUUUCCAAAAAAGAAAACAUGAAUUUGGGACAAACCUUCCUAUACAAUGUCAAAACAAGAUGUCUCUGUGCCUUGUCUCUUUAAGUAAGGUAAGGUGACCGUGGCUUAUUCCUGGGUCAGAGAAAAGCUAGAUGCACAUUUAUUUUUAUUUAUUUUAGAAGAAAUGUUGUAAACAUUUUGGAGAAAUAUGAGUAAAGUUUGUAAGUUAGAUGACAUGGAAUUAAAUAUUAAACUUAUUUGAUGCACUAUUUAAGAGAAUAUCCUUGGACUUAACCGAUGCGUGCUGUAUUUAGGGAUAACGUGUCAUGCCUGUUGUUAAAUGGAUACAAAUAACACCUAAUGCACCUGUGUAGAUGCAGAAAGGAAAGCAAACGUAAUAAUACAUGUUUUUCUUGGAGAAAACAGCUGAGGAGCCUGCUAGGUAAUAUUGUCACAUUAUUGUCUGCCUGGCAUCUGAGUUUUACAAGUACCCUGUUUCAACCCCCCCCCCCCAAAAAAAAAGAAUCAGGAAAAUUAAGUUAAAGCUUGAGGGGUGGUCCGCUCUUCUGAUGCAUCUCGAUUACCAUUAUCUUCCCCUUCUAGCACUAGGAAAGAGUUAAAUAGCCUUCUAGUUAAACAAGGGUUUUAGUCACUGAAGAAAGGGAAGAGACAGUUUGGAAGAUUCCUUUACUGGUUAUCCAAGAUGGCUUGCUUACCUAAAUUCUCUCAGGAAUGACGAAGUUGCUUGACCUCUCGUCCUUUGCAGUCUUCUAAGUUGGAACUUCAGGUCCAGCUCUGACUUGGUGAUGCUUACCAGAAAGUGGGUUCAAGUUGAAAGUGCUUCCUUGGCAGUCAGGAUCCCAUUUCUUCUUGUUUCCUGGUCUGCUUCUGAGGAUAUUUGAUAUUUUUUUCUGGCUUCCUUUAAAUUGUUUGGACCUAGGACAUAUAGAUUGUCUUCUGUAGCCUGAAUGUAAGAGGCUCUCUACUUCAGUUUUCAUUCCUUCAGAGGUUCCUCCUCUGUCACCUGUAGGUAACAAGUUCAAAACAUUGGAGUCUUAAUGGAAAUUCUGCAGUUCGCACAUAGUGAGUCCAGAAGGACUGGCGAUGCUAAACUGUUGUCUUGCGCUCUGCCCCAGAAGCAAAGCAUCCCGCUGGCCAGCGUGCUUCAGCUCCGUGGUUCCCAGGUUCAGAGGGCCAUGCAGUGCUCGCUCAGUGGGGAAGAGCAUCUGCUUGGGACGGUUAGGUAGGUCCUAGGCCAGAGUUCCUGUGAUUUUAAGAGAUGUAGUGAUGACCCCUGAAGAGGGUUUCUUUACUUGUUCUUGCUUUUGUGUGAGCAGAAUGACUCCUAUGAUUCUUACCUAGUUCUUGCUGAGAUCAUUUGGUUUUGGUACAACCUUGGGCUCUAGUCUAGGUGUAGAUGAUGAAGCAUUCUAUAUCAUAAAGUAGAGUGUUAGCAUCGGAGGGAUCUUAAGACAUUAUUGCGCACCUUGCCCAGGUCUCCUAAUCCUUGUUUUGGGAUCCUUUCUUUGUUCCCAUUCAUCUUCACAGGAACGAGAGUGGGAGAUGAUGCCAAAGAACAACUCCUCACUCUCCCAAGAGCACUUGGAUGCUCUAUCCCACCCCCUACACCCCUCGCCCAGUCUUCUAAGGCCAGAGUUCUUUUCUCUGUGCAAGCAUUAUUGACAGAAUAAGUGCUGGCGUUGAGACAGGUCUGGUGAAGUGACCAGGCCCCUUGGUCCCCUGGCCCAGAGGUUCUGUGUCUGCUCCUGCAGGCUCCAGUUCAGGUAAACUGUCUUGAGCCCCAUCCUCAUCUGCCUGUUUUGGCAACCAGUGGCCUAGACCAUGAUGUGAAGAUCUGGGCGCCGACAGCUGAAGCUUCCACUGAGCUGACAGGGUUAAAGGAAGUGAUCAAGAAGAACAAGCGAGAGCGGGAUGAAGACAGCUUGCACCACACUGAUCUGUUUGAUAGUCACAUGCUGUGGUUCCUUAUGCAUCACCUGAGACAGAGACGCCAUCAUCGGCGCUGGCGAGAACCUGGGGUUGGGGCCACAGAUGCAGACUCUGAUGAGUCUCCCAGCUCCUCAGACACAUCCGACGAGGAGGAGGGCCCUGACCGGGUGCAGUGCAUGCCAUCCUGAGGCCCCACACCUAGGAGGGAUGGGCUGGGGCUGCCAACCCGAUCCUGCCUGGGCAACUCUUUUUCAGUCCCAGGCCCUUACAUUCAACAGAAAUGCACUUUGGACUUUUUGUUUAAAUAAAAGAAAGAUACCUGAGGAGGACAGAGCACAGGAGACGGAACCAGCAGAGAGCCCCUAGAAGUGAGAGAUGAGAAGGAGCCUGAAUGAGCUUCCAUGGAAGGUGCAAAGGACUCAGAGAAAUGGGCCUCUCCCUGAAGCCUUUUGUCAAUGGGCUUGGAUAGGAAGUGGGGCUUCUUUUUCUUUAACCUCCCUUGUUUCUUUUGGGGGUGGGGGGUACCAAUAGGCCAGAGAGAAGGCUGGGCAUGCCACUCUCUUUGGUUUAGGGUUUCACCUUUUUUUUUUCCUUUGUUUUUUAAGAAGUCUGACAGUUGCUUUGUUUUUUGCCCGAGCAACCACGUCCCAUCCCAGGAUCCUGUUUUUCUGGGAAAUCCUUAAGAGCCCCCAGCCACCCCAGCACUCUGCUCUCCCUUCCACAACACUUACUCUCUGACCUUACCACAGUGCUCUGCACUGCUGCCCGUUGUCUCCUUCACUCACUCGUCAUCCAGCGCCCUCUAAAUGGGGGCUGGGAUGGGGACUGAGGAGACGUGGGAGGGACAAGAGACGGAAAAACAGGAAGAAGUUACCUCUUGGUUUUGGUUUUAACUGUUCAGUGGUGGCAAUUUCCCUGUCCCUAUCACUGUUAGAGGCCUACUUUUAUAUCUAUAAAUAUAUUAAAAAGCAAGUUAAACUUGGAUGUAUCAAGUUAAAAUUAUUGUCAGAAGUUUAAAUACCUAUAUAUUCUCUAUGAAUCCAAUGCAAUAAAGGGGCUGCAAGGAAGAGCAAGCGAUCGAGUGAUGCUGAAGAGGUGACGUGGGUCAGAUGAUUCAUGGCUGCUCUCAGAGCCUAGGGCUUACCUGUAGCUUUCCCAAGGCUCAAGGGUGGAAACAUAGUCAGCUGUGCCCUUCUCUGCCUCAGUACUGAGCUUUAGAAAAACAAAUUCCUCUCAACUUUGCCUCAGGUCUCCUAAUUUCUGUAAGUCUGUGGGGGCUCCCAAGAUUGCUCCUCUCAUUAGAGGCUGGCCUGUCUCUAAAACAUGACUGAAGUGUGACUUCAGGAAGGGCGUCACUGCUGCAGACUGUCUCCUGGUUCUGAGUAUAACGGAAAGCACACUCGCCCCCUCCCUUUAGUUAGCUGCUUGAUUCUUUAAGCAUCCAACUCCACACCAGCUCCCUUCCUAAUGGAAGGAUGAAGGGAGAGCUUCCUGGGAAUCAAGGGACAAGCCAGUAAUUGGAGGAUUUAUUCUGGUGCCUGGGGCUUAGAGCCCUGUCUUCAGCACUGGCCACUGAGUAUGAAAGUCCCUGUGGAAUUCUUACCCUAAAUGCUUGUGCUGCUCUUCCUGUGCCCCGGUGUUCACAAGGUCCAGUCAGGAGGCCUACACCAUGGGAUGGAAGUUGGAGAGAGAGCGGAGGGUGGUAUCCUACACACUCUUUCCUCUUGACCCCAUCCAGCAGCGCAGGCCAGAUGCCAGCUCCUGGGCUUCCUUCGUGGCAGGGAGUGUGUGGUAACUGAGUAGUAGUCUUAUGUCCUCACUGCUAGAGGGAUGAUGAGGUGGGCUUAAAACCAUGCACUCUGGAAUUUGUUGUAUUUUUUUCUCAGUAAAGCUUUUCCCCUGACUGCU
Mus musculus (house mouse) is the source of this 5702-nucleotide RNA transcript. It is a transcript of the gene named DDB1 and CUL4 associated factor 8, with no coding region annotated. The transcript is spliced from 13 exons. Lineage: Eukaryota; Metazoa; Chordata; Mammalia; Rodentia; Muridae. The record is from RefSeq and is marked validated.